This is a long non-coding RNA of Polyodon spathula (Mississippi paddlefish), 1181 nucleotides long. RefSeq lists it as uncharacterized. Lineage: Eukaryota; Metazoa; Chordata; Actinopteri; Acipenseriformes; Polyodontidae. The record is from RefSeq and is a predicted model, not a curated record. The transcript has 3 exons.
AAGAAAAAAAAGUACUGUGGUCGUAGGUUACUACAAAGUUAAGAAAUAAAAGAAAAUAUAUCUAAAAAGAAUUACCAUCACUGAAAGAGACACUGCUCCACGCAAAGCUCUCCAGCCAAGAGAUUCUCAACCAAUUCAAACAGCUCCCACCGAGCACGAUCUACCAACUCCACGACAGCUCUGAUCGUCGGUAUUCACAACUUCAGCCUUCACUGCUCAGAUUUCUGCUUCUCCAGCGCCAUCACUGGAUCCCUCAUCUCUUCUCCAUCACCCAGCACAACAACAGGCUCGCUCUCCUGCCUGCCCACAGGUCCCGCUUGGCCACUUGUUCCCCUGCAAUCCCCAACAUCAGAGAUUGGACGAUCUCCAGGCUCCAGCAUUAUCUACAUACCAACAACAUCCCUUUCAAAUCCAGAGCACAUGCAGAUUCAGAGCUCCCGAAGCCGAUCUCCUGCCAACUCAGACUCCUCCCUUUUCAGACAUGAAAUUCCUAUGAGCCACCCGCUGUAUUCCCUGGUUCUCAAGAAACAACUCUUCUCAGCCUCACUCCCCGCUCACUGCAAACAGACUUGUCAUCCUGGAAUUGCUUUAAAAAUGUUCACAUUGCAUUCAACAUUCCCUUCCCUUCAUUUUCAAUGCCUGUAUUAUCAUCCCAUUAAGAACAGAGCUAUAAGAAUCGCCUCCAUCAAAGUUUCAAUUUCCUGUUUUUCUAUAAACUCAUUUUCGGAGCCCCCAGCUCUACACUCAGCAACUCACAAAUUUCAUGAAUCCUGAAAGGGCUUCAACAAUCAGAAUCUCCUUCUCCCCCUGCUUGCCUACCUAUCAGCAUUAACGUACUCUCCCAGUGCAUGUCAUUCAUCCGCUCCGGCUACUCCUCCCAGUUUUUAGACAAAACCUUAGAAGCCCUUUUUCUUCUACCCUUUUUUGGGUUCCUUAGUUGCUCAGUUUACAUCACACUCCAAUAAAUCCAACCUCCAGAUUCACCCCUGUGUCUCUGACCUAUCAAUUACCUCAUUUGAUAUCCCUUCCUUCCUGCUCAAAAGAAGUAUUUAAAUAUUUAGGAACAUUUGUUGUGUAAUAACUAGAGAAACUGAUCAAUUUUGAAUGAAACAAUGCUACUUUUUAUGCUUUAAUAAAUAUUUAAAUUAAAUAUUUAAAUCGUGGAAUAUCUUGUAAUACCU